AUACGGAGGAUGCGAGCGUUAUCCGGAUUUAUUGGGUUUAAAGGGUGCGUAGGCGGCUUUGUAAGUCAGCGGUGAAAUUUUGCAGCUUAACUGUAAAAGCGCCGUUGAUACUGUGAAGCUAGGAUUUGGUUGCUGUGGGCGGAAUGUGUGGUGUAGCGGUGAAAUGCAUAGAGAUCACACAGAAUAUCGAUUGCGAAGGCAGCUCACAAAGCCAAUAUUGACGCUGAGGCACGAAAGUGUGGGGAUCAAACAGGAUUAGAUACCCUGGUAGUCCACACUGUAAACGAUGAUAACUCGCUGUCGGCGAUAGACCGUCGGUGGCCAAGCGAAAGCGAUAAGUUAUCCACCUGGGGAGUACGACCGCAAGGUUGA
Molecule: ribosomal RNA, 372 nt
Filed under: uncultured bacterium
Lineage: Bacteria
Description: bacterial SSU rRNA
Rfam family: Bacterial small subunit ribosomal RNA
Source: RNAcentral